Molecule: ribosomal RNA, 305 nt
Filed under: uncultured bacterium
Lineage: Bacteria
Description: bacterial SSU rRNA
Rfam family: Bacterial small subunit ribosomal RNA
Source: RNAcentral
GGUCCUACGGGACACAGCAGUGGGGAAUAUUGGGCAAUGGGCGCAAGCCUGACCCAGCAACGCCGCGUGAAGGAAGAAGGCUUUCGGGUUGUAAACUUCUUUUAAGAGGGAAGAGUAGAAGACGGUACCUCUUGAAUAAGCCACGGCUAACUACGUGCCAGCAGCCGCGGUAAUACGUAGGUGGCAAGCGUUAUCCGGAUUUACUGGGUGUAAAGGGCGUGUAGGCGGGACUGCAAGUCAGAUGUGAAAAUUAUGGGCUCAACCCAUAACCUGCAUUUGAAACUGUAGUUCUUGAGUGAUGGAGA